ACUCGGCAAAUUAGCCCCGUAACUUCGGAAGAAGGGGUGCCUGCAGCGAUGCAGGCCGCAGAGAAAUGGCUCAACCGACUGUUUAUCAAAAACACAGCACUCUGCAAAGACGCAAGUCGAAGUAUAGGGUGUGACACGUGACCAAUGCCGAAAGAUUAAGGCAAGGGGUUAGCCGCAAGGCGAAGCUCUAAACCCAAGUCCCGGUGAAUGUCGGCCGUAACUAUAACGGUCCUAAGGUAGCGAAAUUCCUUGUCGGGUAAGUUCCGACCUGCACGAAUCGUGAAACGAGUUGGGCACUGUCUCAACCAGGCGCUCAGUGAAAUUGUAGUGGCGGUGAAGAUGCCGCCUACCCGCAGAAGGACGGAGAGACCCUAUAGACCUUAACUGUAAGCUGUCAUUGUUUCUUCGGUUUUAAUGCUCAGAGUAAGUGGGAGACGCUGAAGACGCCCUUUAGGGGGCGUCCGAGUCAUCAAUGAGACACCACCCUUUGAAACUGGAGGAUCUAACCCUGAGCCGUGAAUCCGGCCAGAGGACCGUGUCAGCCGGUCAGUUUUACUGGGGCGGUAUCCUCCCAAAGAGUAACGGAGGAGCGCGAAGGUGGGCUCAGCCCGGUUGGCAACCGGGUGUCGAGUGCAUGGGCAUAAGCCCGCCUAACUGUGAGACCAACAAGUCGAGCAGAUGCGAAAGCAGGCCCAAGUGAUCCGGCGGUAGAAAGUGGAAUUGCCGUCGCUCAACGGAUAAAAGGUACCUUAGGGAUAACAGGCUGAUCACGCCCAAGAGUUCAUAUCGACGGCGUGGUUUGGCACCUCGAUGUCGGCUCGUCGCAUCCUGGGGCUGGAGAAGGUCCCAAGGGUCCGGCUGUUCGCCGGUUAAAGCGGCACGCGAGCUGGGUUCAGAACGUCGCGAGACAGUUCGGUCCUCUAUCCUCUGUGGGCGUUGGAAAAUUGAGGGGUUCAGACCUUAGUACGAGAGGACCGGGUCUGACGCACCACUGGUGCAUCGGUUGUACUGUCAAGUGCAUGGCCGAGUAGCUAAGUGCGGACGGGAUAAGCGCUGAAAGCAUCUAAGCGCCAAGCCCUUCCCAAGAUGAGUUUUCCCUACAGGUUCGUGGAAGACCACCACGUUGAUAGGUCGCAGGUGUAAGUGCAGCAAUGUAUUGAGCCGAGCGAUACUAAUUACCAAUUGACUUCAUCAU
Molecule: ribosomal RNA, 1195 nt
Filed under: human gut metagenome
Description: bacterial LSU rRNA
Rfam family: Bacterial large subunit ribosomal RNA
Source: RNAcentral